This is a long non-coding RNA of Numida meleagris (helmeted guineafowl), 1372 nucleotides long. RefSeq lists it as uncharacterized. NCBI's taxonomy places the organism in Eukaryota, Metazoa, Chordata, Aves, Galliformes, Numididae. The record is from RefSeq and is a predicted model, not a curated record. The transcript is spliced from 2 exons.
UCUCUUUUUCACACCUUUCAUCUUCCCAAAGGCAUGAGAGUAUCCUCUGGUACAAGCUAUGGCGUGAGGGGUUGCCUUCUGCACGAGACCUGGGAAAUUAGCCUCUGAAAUAAGUGGGUGCUGCUCUAUUUGGGCGACAGACCCGCAAGCGUGGUACAGAACACACUGUACAGCACACAGAGCUCUGCUGCUGCUUGUGGAAGCACGUACGUGUAUUGGUUUAAUUAAACUCAUUUCAUAAAUUGCCUGGAUUAAUUAACACGCGUUUCUGCUCAAAUUUGUGGUCCUUAAGAGGAGCGAGCCGCUCACUGCGUUAUCCGGCCUGAUUGUGUUUGUGCUCCUUCAGAGUCAGCACCUGUCUGGCACCUGCACUCAAAAACGCCUGUGAACUCCAUGAAGUCUUGUUUAAAACAAACCGUGAAGUGAGAGGAUAGUUGAUUAGAAAUGGUGCAAUUAUGUCGUGAUGAUGAAGGAUCCCUCCCCUGCACUUGGACAGUGUUUGUGACAUCCCUGCUCUGGAUUGUUUCCUGGCCCUCGUGUUUGUCACCCUAGGGCUCCCCCUCCUGCAGUUUCACAGGACUUCCAGCUCCAGAACUGUCUUCUUUGCAACUUCUUUCUGUGCACUUUCCUACGUGUCUGUUCAGGUGUCAAGUCAGUCAGCUGGAAUGCCGCAGUAUUAAAUGUUUUCUAGCAGUAAACGAUAGUUAAAUUGGAAUGAAAUUCCUGUGUGCGUAUGUGUAAAAUGUACAGAGGUCAUUUUUAAAGGAGAACGUAAACACAGCUGUCUGCUCUGGGGAGACUCCAGCCUGCCACACCAGUGGUUGAGAGCCUUGUCUCUGUAGUCAUGUAAAAUAUUUCUUUCUGUUCCUCCAGCUCAGGACACCCAACUUUCCAAAUCGUCACGUGUUCCUUCACUUCUGCAGCGUGCAUUUUGGCAAUGCUGCAGUCCCGGAAGUCCAACGUGAAUUACCCUGUUUUCUGCAAUGUCUGGAAGGUCACAUUCCCUAGCAUCUUUUCCUCUUCUGAAAACAGCUGCAGUAGCCUAAAACAAGUGAGGUAUGAAACCAGUCAGGAAAUCUGCGUCCCUCUGCGUAUCAGAUUUGGCAGCCCGAAGCAUGUGUAUCUUUCCAUUCCCUGCCGCAAAGGUAGACUGACUCCAGAAUGAGUUUUAAUGAAGUCAUCUGGUUUGCAAAUGAGAAAUUGGGAGUGCGUGCAGGAAAAGCGGUGGUGAGAUUGGAGGUACGCUGGCGCUGUUUUUCAGGAGUGAACUUUUUGUUUUGACUGUUCAGGAGACAUUUUUGGUUCUAGCGUUUAAAAAGAAAAAAAUCAGUUUCUAAAUAUGGGUCAGCAUUGAGAUCUUGGAGAGGAAGAA